GAUGAACGCUGGCGGCGUGCUUAACACAUGCAAGUCGAACGGAAAGGCUCCUGCUUGCUGGGGUACUCGAGUGGCGAACGGGUGAGUAACACGUGGGUGAUCUGCCCUGCACUUCGGGAUAAGCCUGGGAAACUGGGUCUAAUACCGGAUAGGACGAUGGUUUGGAUGCCAUUGUGGAAAGUUUUUUCGGCGUGGGAUGAGCUCGCGGCCUAUCAGCUUGUUGGUGGGGUAAUGGCCUACCAAGGCGUCGACGGGUAGCCGGCCUGAGAGGGUGUACGGCCACAUUGGGACUGAGAUACGGCCCAGACUCCUACGGGAGGCAGCAGUGGGGAAUAUUGCACAAUGGGCGCAAGCCUGAUGCAGCGACGCCGCGUGGGGGAUGACGGCCUUCGGGUUGUAAACUCCUUUCGCUAGGGACGAAGCGCAAGUGACGGUACCUGGAGAAGAAGCACCGGCUAACUACGUG
Molecule: ribosomal RNA, 466 nt
Filed under: uncultured bacterium
Lineage: Bacteria
Description: partial 16S ribosomal RNA
Rfam family: Bacterial small subunit ribosomal RNA
Source: RNAcentral